UCCUCCCUACUCCUCCCAUU
Molecule: microRNA, 20 nt
Filed under: Pinus taeda (loblolly pine)
Lineage: Eukaryota; Viridiplantae; Streptophyta; Pinopsida; Pinales; Pinaceae
Description: pta-miR482d
Gene: pta-miR482d
Source: miRBase by way of RNAcentral